Molecule: long non-coding RNA, 1180 nt
Filed under: Equus asinus (donkey)
Lineage: Eukaryota; Metazoa; Chordata; Mammalia; Perissodactyla; Equidae
Description: lncRNA (ENSEASG00005037502.1)
Source: RNAcentral
GAGAUAAUAGUAACAAGCUCCAUCUUUUAACAAAAGGAGUGUCAUGUUUGUGGCACACGUUUAUAAAGAAAGGGCAGGAUUGUUUGGGGUUUUCUUCGGAGAUUAGUUCCUACAGUUACUCAUCCAUCUGAGUGUUGGCUGCCUUUUCUAUAUGAUGAGGGGGAUCACCCCUCUCUGUCAGGGAUGUUGGGAAAAUGAAAGGGAAACAGAUACAUAAAGAGACAGCACAGAGCCUUUACCUUCCCUGCCCUUGGACCAGUGACAAUGACCUGGCAUUACUCAUAGGACGUUCAUGAGGGUUGACAGAAGGACAAGGAGGAGAAGCAGCAGUCUUCCCCACCCUCAGUCCCUCCUCCAAGGGAGCUCCAGGUGCCAGGGCACCUGUUGUCUUCACACUGGACAGUGACCCUCAGGACAUCGACCAGAGCUGGUGUGCGACCUUGGGAGCAGAGAGGCGAUGCUCACCACAUGGAUGCUGAGGAAGUGAGGACAGUUAGUCUCCCUCAUCUCCUGUGUUCCUGAGUCCUUCCCCUGGACGGACCAACCUCCACUGACAUCUACAGUCUCCCUGACCCACACACCUGACAUCCUCAUCCUGGAGACCUGGAGUCCAGCCACCCCAGGAACCUGACCUGCUCUGUGCCCUGGGUCUGUGUGUGGGGCACACCCCCCAUCUUCUCCUGGACAUCAGCUGCCCUCACUUCUAUGGGCCCCAGGACCCAAUUCUCCUCGGUGCUCACCCUCACCCCAUGGCCCCAGGACCAUGGCAUUAACCUCACCUGUCAGGUGAAGUUUCCCAUGGCUGGUGUGAUGAUGGAGAGAACUACCCAGCUCAACAUCACCUGUGCUCCAUAGAACCCAGAAGUGGGUGUCUGUCUAGCGGAUGGCACAGGUAAUAUAUUCACCUGGCCAAAAUUUCAAAAUGCACAGCAGAGUCUGUCUUCAGAUGCCCAGUCUCCUCCUGGGAAGUGACCAGUGUCCAUAGGCUGCUCUGAGCCUUGAUUUGUUCACCUAAAGGAUCUUAGGGGUCAUUUGACAUCAGUGGUACAGAAGUCGUCAUGCGUCCGUGACUGUGCAGGAUUCCAUGGCCUGGAUGGAUUCUGAUUCUGUACACACCUUCUGCUAAUACAAAAUUCCUGGCAUUAAGUUAUUCUACCAAUAAAAAAGCUGCAAUCAGUAA